RNAcentral lists this ribosomal RNA (1724 nucleotides) under Escherichia coli. RNAcentral's name for it is "partial 23S ribosomal RNA". It matches the Rfam family "Bacterial large subunit ribosomal RNA", at positions 1213 to 2915 of the family's 2925-position model. The record is from RNAcentral. Lineage: Bacteria; Pseudomonadati; Pseudomonadota; Gammaproteobacteria; Enterobacterales; Enterobacteriaceae.
GCUGAUGCGUUGUUGGGUAGGGGAGCGUUCUGUAAGCCUGUGAAGGUGUGCUGUGAGGCAUGCUGGAGGUAUCAGAAGUGCGAAUGCUGACAUAAGUAACGAUAAAGCGGGUGAAAAGCCCGCUCGCCGGAAGACCAAGGGUUCCUGUCCAACGUUAAUCGGGGCAGGGUGAGUCGACCCCUAAGGCGAGGCCGAAAGGCGUAGUCGAUGGGAAACAGGUUAAUAUUCCUGUACUUGGUGUUACUGCGAAGGGGGGACGGAGAAGGCUAUGUUGGCCGGGCGACGGUUGUCCCGGUUUAAGCGUGUAGGCUGGUUUUCCAGGCAAAUCCGGAAAACUAAGGCUGAGGCGUGAUGACGAGGCACUACGGUGCUGAAGCAACAAAUGCCCUGCUUCCAGGAAAAGCCUCUAAGCAUCAGGUAACAUCAAAUCGUACCCCAAACCGACACAGGUGGUCAGGUAGAGAAUACCAAGGCGCUUGAGAGAACUCGGGUGAAGGAACUAGGCAAAAUGGUGCCGUAACUUCGGGAGAAGGCACGCUGAUAUGUAGGUGAAGCGACUUGCUCGUGGAGCUGAAAUCAGUCGAAGAUACCAGCUGGCUGCAACUGUUUAUUAAAAACACAGCACUGUGCAAACACGAAAGUGGACGUAUACGGUGUGACGCCUGCCCGGUGCCGGAAGGUUAAUUGAUGGGGUCAGCGCAAGCGAAGCUCUUGAUCGAAGCCCCGGUAAACGGCGGCCGUAACUAUAACGGUCCUAAGGUAGCGAAAUUCCUUGUCGGGUAAGUUCCGACCUGCACGAAUGGCGUAAUGAUGGCCAGGCUGUCUCCACCCGAGACUCAGUGAAAUUGAACUCGCUGUGAAGAUGCAGUGUACCCGCGGCAAGACGGAAAGACCCCGUGAACCUUUACUAUAGCUUGACACUGAACAUUGAGCCUUGAUGUGUAGGAUAGGUGGGAGGCUUUGAAGUGUGGACGCCAGUCUGCAUGGAGCCGACCUUGAAAUACCACCCUUUAAUGUUUGAUGUUCUAACGUUGACCCGUGAUCCGGGUUGCGGACAGUGUCUGGUGGGUAGUUUGACUGGGGCGGUCUCCUCCUAAAGAGUAACGGAGGAGCACGAAGGUUGGCUAAUCCUGGUCGGACAUCAGGAGGUUAGUGCAAUGGCAUAAGCCAGCUUGACUGCGAGCGUGACGGCGCGAGCAGGUGCGAAAGCAGGUCAUAGUGAUCCGGUGGUUCUGAAUGGAAGGGCCAUCGCUCAACGGAUAAAAGGUACUCCGGGGAUAACAGGCUGAUACCGCCCAAGAGUUCAUAUCGACGGCGGUGUUUGGCACCUCGAUGUCGGCUCAUCACAUCCUGGGGCUGAAGUAGGUCCCAAGGGUAUGGCUGUUCGCCAUUUAAAGUGGUACGCGAGCUGGGUUUAGAACGUCGUGAGACAGUUCGGUCCCUAUCUGCCGUGGGCGCUGGAGAACUGAGGGGGGCUGCUCCUAGUACGAGAGGACCGGAGUGGACGCAUCACUGGUGUUCGGGUUGUCAUGCCAAUGGCACUGCCCGGUAGCUAAAUGCGGAAGAGAUAAGUGCUGAAAGCAUCUAAGCACGAAACUUGCCCCGAGAUGAGUUCUCCCUGACUCCUUGAGAGUCCUGAAGGAACGUUGAAGACGACGACGUUGAUAGGCCGGGUGUGUAAGCGCAGCGAUGCGUUGAGCUAACCGGUACUAAUGAACCGUGAG